This 457-nucleotide ribosomal RNA is filed under the name uncultured Pseudomonas sp. RNAcentral's name for it is "bacterial SSU rRNA". It matches the Rfam family "Bacterial small subunit ribosomal RNA", at positions 926 to 1382 of the family's 1533-position model. Lineage: Bacteria; Pseudomonadati; Pseudomonadota; Gammaproteobacteria; Pseudomonadales; Pseudomonadaceae. The record is from RNAcentral.
CAAGCGGUGGAGCAUGUGGUUAAUUCGAAGCAACGCGAAGAACCUUACCAGGCCUUGACAUGCAGAGAACUUCAGAGAUGGAUUGGUGCCUUCGGGAACUCUGACACAGGUGCUGCAUGGCUGUCGUCAGCUCGUGUCGUGAGGUGUUGGGUUAAGUCCCGUAACGAGCGCAACCCUUGUCCUUAGUUACCAGCACGUUAUGGUGGGCACUCUAAGGAGACUGCCGGUGACAAACCGGAGGAAGGUGGGGGAUGACGUCAAGUCAUCAUGGCCCUUACGGCCUGGGCUACACACGUGCUACAAUGGCCGGCACAGCGGGAAGCGGAGGGGCGACCCUGAGCGGAUCCCUUGAAAGCCGGUCCCAGUUCGGAUUGCAGUCUGCAACUCGACUGCAUGAAGUUGGAAUCGCUAGUAAUCGCGGAUCAGCCAAGCCGCGGUGAAUACGUUCCCGGGCCUU